GACAGAGGGUGCAAGCGUUGUCCGGAUUUAUUGGGUUUAAAGGGUGCGUAGGCGGCCCGUUAAGUCAGUGGUGAAAGCCUCCAGCUCAACUGGAGAACUGCCAUUGAUACUGACGGGCUUGAGUACAGACGAGGUUGGCGGAAUUGAUUGUGUAGCGGUGAAAUGCAUAGAUACAAUCAAGAACUCCGAUUGCGUAGGCAGCUAACUAGGCUGUAACUGACGCUGAGGCACGAAAGCGUGGGGAGCGAACAGG
Molecule: ribosomal RNA, 253 nt
Filed under: uncultured bacterium
Lineage: Bacteria
Description: partial 16S ribosomal RNA
Rfam family: Bacterial small subunit ribosomal RNA
Source: RNAcentral